AUUGCCCUAGUAACGGCGAGUGAAGCGGCAACAGCUCAAAUUUGAAAUCUGGCCUCGGCCCGAGUUGUAAUUUGUAGAGGAUGCUUUUGGCGCGGCGCCUUCUGAGUUCCCUGGAACGGGACGCCAGAGAGGGUGAGAGCCCCGUACGGUCGGACGCCAAGCCUCUGUAAAGCUCCUUCGACGAGUCGAGUAGUUUGGGAAUGCUGCUCAAAAUGGGAGGUAAAUGCCUUCUAAAGCUAAAUACCGGCCAGAGACCGAUAGCGCACAAGUAGAGUGAUCGAAAGAUGAAAAGCACUUUGAAAAGAGGGUCAAAUAGCACGUGAAAUUGUUGAAAGGGAAGCGCUCAUGACCAGACGUGUGCCUCGUGAAUCAUCCGGCGUUCUCGCCGGUGCACUUCGCCCGGCACAGGCCAGCAUCGGUUUUCCCAGGGGGAUAAAAGCCGCGGGAACGUAGCUCCUCCGGGAGUGUUAUAGCCCGUGGCACAAUGCCCUUAGGGGGACCGAGGCCCGCGCUCCGCAAGGAUGCUGGCGUAAUGGUCAUCAGCGACCCGUCUUGAAACACGGACCAAGGAGUCAAGCAUUAGGGCGAGUGUUUGGGUGUCAAACCCGCACGCGAAAUGAAAGUGAACGCAGGUGAGAGCUUCGGCGCAUCAUCGACCGAUCCUGAUGUAUUCGGAUGGAUUUGAGUAAGAGCCUUACCGCUUGGACCCGAAAGAUGGUGAACUAUGCCUGGAUAGGGUGAAGCCAGAGGAAACUCUGGUGGAGGCUCGCAGCGGUUCUGACGUGCAAAUCGAUCGUCAAAUCUGGGCAUGGGGGCGAAAGACUAAUCGAACCAUCUAGUAGCUGGUUACCGCCGAAGUUUCCCUCAGGAUAGC
This 874-nucleotide ribosomal RNA is filed under the name Ascitendus austriacus. RNAcentral describes it as "LSU rRNA". It matches the Rfam family "Eukaryotic large subunit ribosomal RNA", at positions 74 to 982 of the family's 3401-position model. The record is from RNAcentral. Lineage: Eukaryota; Fungi; Ascomycota; Sordariomycetes; Annulatascales; Annulatascaceae.